Molecule: non-coding RNA, 269 nt
Filed under: Beta vulgaris subsp. vulgaris (sugar beet)
Lineage: Eukaryota; Viridiplantae; Streptophyta; Magnoliopsida; Caryophyllales; Amaranthaceae
Description: Eukaryotic small subunit ribosomal RNA
Rfam family: Eukaryotic small subunit ribosomal RNA
Source: Rfam by way of RNAcentral
UACCUGGUUGAUCCUGCCAGUAGUCAUAUACUUGUCUCAAAGAUUAAGCCAUGCAUGUGUAAGUAUGAACUAAUUCAGACUAUGAAACUGCGAAUGGCUCAUUUAAUCAGUUAUAGUUUGUCUGAUGGUACCUGCUACUCGGAUAACCGUAUGCAACAAACCCCGACUUCUGGAAGGGAUGCAUUUAUUAGAUAAAAGGUCAACGCGGGCUCUGCCCCUUGCUCUGAUCAUUCAAAUUUCUGCCCUAUCAACUUUCGAUGGUAGGAUAG